GGCCCCUUCAUCUUCUUCCCUCGCCCGCAGCAUCGCCCUCCUGGCUCUGAUCUGCUGUGCCUUCGCAUGCUCCACGGCGGCACAAGUUGCUCGAGGGGGGAGCCGUGCGCCGGUUCGUCCUCCGUCGCCGCAGUUCCCGUCGCCAAGGCGGCCGGGGCAGGCGCCGCUCGCUCCACCGCCGCCGUCAUCAACAGAAAGGCCGACGGCGCUCACGGCACACCGGAAGACCAUGGAGAUUGCUGCCCGCUAGCUCUGAAUUGAAGAUGAGGUCGACUUGUUUUUACUUGGUGUAUACAUUUGGCCCUGCUGGGCUGCUGGCGCUAAGGGUACUGUAUUUGGUUUCGUUUCAGCCUCUGGUUUAGAAUUAUGUCACAGUGCGCUGAUAAUAGGUCUCGAAAAUGCUAUCGUUCAGAUGAUCCUAUCAUCUCGAUUAAUAAACAUCUGAUUAAUAUGUAACAGUACGUAUA
Molecule: long non-coding RNA, 467 nt
Organism: Triticum dicoccoides
Lineage: Eukaryota; Viridiplantae; Streptophyta; Magnoliopsida; Poales; Poaceae
Exons: 2
Source: RefSeq, a predicted model, not a curated record